RNAcentral lists this ribosomal RNA (439 nucleotides) under uncultured bacterium. Its description in RNAcentral is "partial 16S ribosomal RNA". It matches the Rfam family "Bacterial small subunit ribosomal RNA", at positions 338 to 794 of the family's 1533-position model. The record is from RNAcentral.
CCUACGGGAGGCAGCAGUGGGGAAUCUUGGACAAUGGGGGAAACCCUGAUCCAGCGACGCCGCGUGAGGGACGAAGCCCUUCGGGGUGUAAACCUCUUUCAGCGGGGAAGACGCCCGACGGUACCCGCAGAAGAAGUCACGGCCAACUACGUGCCAGCAGCCGCGGUAAUACGUAGGUGGCGAGCGUUACUCGGAGUCACUGGGCGUAAAGCGUGUGUAGGCGGUCCCGCAAGUCCGGAGUGAAAUCUUCCGGCUAAACCGGAAAAACGCCCGGAAACUGCGGGGCUCGAGGGCGGGAGAGGAGAGCGAAAUUCCCGGUGUAGCGGUGAAAUGCGUUGAGAUCGGGAGGAACGCCGGUGGUGAAGACGGCUCUCUGGACCGCAUCUGACGCUGAGACACGAAAGCGGGGGGAGCAAACAGGAUUAGAUCCCCUUGUAGU